AGGGUGCCCUACACAUGCAGUCGACGAGGUCCAUGGGGUGGCAACACUCCGGAAGACCUAGUGGCGAACGGGUGAGUAACACGUGAGGAACUUGCCCCAGAGACUGGGAUAAGCCCCCGAAAGGGGGUCUAAUACCGGAUGUCCUCACCGAGUCGCAUGGCUUGGUGAGGAAAUGGAUUCCGCUCCGGGAGAGCCUCGCGGCCUAUCAGCUUGUUGGUGGGGUAACGGCCCACCAAGGCGUCGACGGGUAGCUGGUCUGAGAGGAUGAUCAGCCAGACAGGGACUGAGACACGGCCCUGACUCCUUUGGGGGGCAGCAAUGAGGGAUAUUGCACAAUGGGCGAAAGCCUGAUGCAGCGACGCCGCGUGGGCGAUGAAGUCUUUCGGGAUGUAAAGCCCUUUUCUCAGGGACGAAAAGGACGGUACCUGAGGAAGAAGCCCCGGCUAACUACGUGCCAGCAGCCGCGGUAAUA
This 472-nucleotide ribosomal RNA is filed under the name uncultured Iamia sp. RNAcentral describes it as "bacterial SSU rRNA". It matches the Rfam family "Bacterial small subunit ribosomal RNA", at positions 41 to 525 of the family's 1533-position model. Lineage: Bacteria; Bacillati; Actinomycetota; Acidimicrobiia; Acidimicrobiales; Iamiaceae. The record is from RNAcentral.